This 1320-nucleotide long non-coding RNA is filed under the name Salmo trutta (river trout). RNAcentral's name for it is "lncRNA (ENSSTUG00000049250.1)". The record is from RNAcentral. Lineage: Eukaryota; Metazoa; Chordata; Actinopteri; Salmoniformes; Salmonidae.
GGAAUAAAGUGAUCACACAAAGCCAAUACUCACAAUGUUUCAAAGUGGAUUUAUUUGUUAUUGUCAUACAGUAUCACGUUUCCAACAGUCCCACAGCAUCAGAUGCAGCAUGCAGAGAAAGGGGAAAAAGAAAUCUCAAACUUAAACCAUUUUCAGUUUCCACAUACUAAAAAAAAACUAAAAAAACUAGUCUCCUUCAAAGAAAAUAGAAAAAGUAGCAGUUCUAAAACUAAGGAGCGGUCUGAACUAUAAGGACGACAGAACAGAAAGCUGGAACUGCAUUUAAUAAAUAUGUAUAUACAAAACCAAAAACAUCGUAUCUCCCUGUGAAAGCAGAGUACAGUGUUUAGCAGUUGACAUAGGAAAUGACCUUUUUAACUGGGAAAAAGAACAAUCAUGUCGUUGAUUCGGGAGGAAAAUACUAAACACACUUAAAUAGUUUUGGAUUACUGCUCAUAAUGUGUACAUUUACCAACGUUUGGCAACAUCCAUAUUGUACCCCAAGUGGAUGAUUAAAUAUCAUAAUUACUAACAUCACCAUUCAUGUGUUAACAAGAGGAUUAUUUCAAAUGGAUUAUCUACAUGCACAACCAAAAUCCCGCAAGCAAACGGGAGGCCUUAUGACCAGAGUCCUAUGAGCCCUGGUCUAAAGUAGUGCACUACAUAGGGAAUAGGGCUCUGGUCUAAAGUAGUGCACUACAUAGGGAAUAGGGCUCUGGUCUAAAGUAGUGCACUACAUAGGGAAUAGGGUGUCAUUUGAUACACAUCCAAUGACUCUCCAACUCAAUGUUUCUCACUAAAAAUCAUUGGUGUCCAAACCAGGAAAUCAGGUCACUCAAAGCUAACCUGACACCAAAUCACUGGUGUCCAAACCCACCUAUCAGGUCACUCAAAGCCAAUCCGACACCAAAUCACUGGUGUCCAAACCAGGUAAUCAGGUCACUCAAACCAAACCAGGAAAUCAGGUCACUCAAAGCCAAUCCGACACCAAAUCAUUGGUGUCCAAACCAGGAAAUCAGGUCACUCAAAGCCAACCCGACACCAAAUCACUGGUGUCCAAACCAGGAAAUCAGGUCACUCAAAGCCAAUCCGACACCAAAUCACUGGUGUCCAAACCCACCUAUCAGGUCACUCAAAGCCAACCCGACACCAAAUCACUGGUGUCCAAACCAGGUAAUCAGGUCACUCAAACCAAACCCACCUAUCAGGUCACUCAAACCAAACCCACCUAUCAGGUCACUCAAAGCCAACCUGACACACCAUUUUGUUAUUAUUUUUGCCAGGGAUGCCCACCUCCCCUUAAAUACGGUAGUUUGGUAA